Zootoca vivipara (common lizard) is the source of this 564-nucleotide non-coding RNA. The record is from RefSeq and is a predicted model, not a curated record. Lineage: Eukaryota; Metazoa; Chordata; Lepidosauria; Squamata; Lacertidae.
UUCUGAAGAAAGUCACACAGCACUUUGACUAUUCCCAGGGAGCACUGCUUUGUCCUUGUAGUUAUGAAGCUAGCCAUUGUCUUUCUGCUCCUCUCCCUGGCAUGUGGCUCCAACUCUAUUUUUUUUGAUAUGUGUGAUCCUGUUCGCGAAUUUCUGCAAGCAAUGCUGAAUAGAUCAGAUGAAGAAUUUAAGGAGAUAGUUGAAAACUAUGGAAAUGACCAAGAUGGGGUAGAUGCCUCAAUGAAGUUUAAAAAGUGUGCAGAUAAACUGACAAGCGAGCUAAUUCUUGCUUACUUUGACGUGGCGAUAAAUAUAAUGGUCGCAUGCAAGAAAAGCUGGCAGUAGGACUGAUCUGUGGAUGCAUCCAAGCUGAUUCCACAGGCUGACUACUAGCAUCAGUUGCUGCAAAGCAACACUCAUUUAUCCAUUCUUCUACUUCUUCUGUACUGUCACUAUUCCGUCCUGAGACGUCUCUCUCCAUCUGGAUAGUAUUCAACAAAUACUAUUGAAAACCUAGAGAAAUCUCACCUGUUGUUCUUGAAUCAUUCAUAAUCAAUAAACACU